RNAcentral lists this ribosomal RNA (500 nucleotides) under Penicillium sp. GBPI_P202. Its description in RNAcentral is "eukaryotic LSU rRNA". The stretch from base 194 to 347 matches the Rfam family "5.8S ribosomal RNA". Lineage: Eukaryota; Fungi; Ascomycota; Eurotiomycetes; Eurotiales; Aspergillaceae. The record is from RNAcentral.
AACCUGCGGAAGGAUCAUUACCGAGCGAGAAUUCUCUGAAUUCAACCUCCCACCCGUGUUUAUUGUACCUUGUUGCUUCGGCGGGCCCGCCUCACGGCCGCCGGGGGGCAUCUGCCCCCGGGCCCGCGCCCGCCGAAGACACCUUGAACUCUGUAUGAAAAUUGCAGUCUGAGUCUAAAUAUAAAUUAUUUAAAACUUUCAACAACGGAUCUCUUGGUUCCGGCAUCGAUGAAGAACGCAGCGAAAUGCGAUACGUAAUGUGAAUUGCAGAAUUCAGUGAAUCAUCGAGUCUUUGAACGCACAUUGCGCCCCCUGGUAUUCCGGGGGGCAUGCCUGUCCGAGCGUCAUUGCUGCCCUCAAGCCCGGCUUGUGUGUUGGGUCUCGUCCCCCUUCCCGGGGGGACGGGCCCGAAAGGCAGCGGCGGCACCGCGUCCGGUCCUCGAGCGUAUGGGGCUUUGUCACCCGCUCUGUAGGCCCGGCCGGCGCUUGCCGAUCAACCA